UCGAACGAAUCCCAGCGGGCUUGCUCGCUGGGGGAAGUGGCGAAAGGGGCAGUAAUGCGUGGGUAACCUACCCCGGGGACCGGGAUAGCCUGCCUAACGGCCGGGUAAUACCGGGCGCUGUGAUCGAGGGGCAUCUCUUGGUCAUGGAAUGGUUUUCCGCCUCGGGAGGGGCUCACGUGGUAUUAGCUAGACGGCGGGGUAACGGCCCACCGUGGCAGAGAUGCCUAGCAGGUGUGAGAGCAUGACCUGCGCCACUGGCACUGAGACACUGGCCAGACUCCUACGGGAGGCUGCAGUCGAGGAUCUUCGGCAAUGGGCGCAAGCCUGACCGAGCGACGCCGCGUGCGCAAUGAAGGCCUUCGGGUUGUAAAGCGCUGUCGAGGGGGAGGAAAGCCCGCAAGGGUCUGACCUAUCCCUGGAGGAAGCACGGGCUAAGUUCGUGCCAGCAGCCGCGGUAAGACGAACCGUGCGAACGUUGUUCGGAUUCACUGGGCUUAAAGGGCGCGUAGGCGGCUGUCAUAGUCGGGAGUGAAAUCGUUCGGCCUAACCGGACAAGGGCUCCCGAUACUGGACAGCUCGAGGGGGGUAGGGGCAUGCGGAACUUCCGGUGGAGCGGUGAAAUGCGUAGAUAUCGGAAGGAACGCCGGUGGCGAAAGCGGCGUGCUGGACCUCACCUGACGCUGAGGCGCGAAAGCCAGGGGAGCAAACGGGAUUAGAUACCCCGGUAGUCCUGGCCCUAAACGAUGGGUACUAGGUAGUGGACUUGACAUGGGUUCACUGCCGAAGCAAAAGUGCUAAGUACCCCGCCUGGGGAGUAUGGUCGCA
Molecule: ribosomal RNA, 825 nt
Filed under: uncultured bacterium
Lineage: Bacteria
Description: bacterial SSU rRNA
Rfam family: Bacterial small subunit ribosomal RNA
Source: RNAcentral